Molecule: ribosomal RNA, 2451 nt
Filed under: Escherichia coli
Lineage: Bacteria; Pseudomonadati; Pseudomonadota; Gammaproteobacteria; Enterobacterales; Enterobacteriaceae
Description: partial 23S ribosomal RNA
Rfam family: Bacterial large subunit ribosomal RNA
Source: RNAcentral
CAUAGGUUAAUGAGGCGAACCGGGGGAACUGAAACAUCUAAGUACCCCGAGGAAAAGAAAUCAACCGAGAUUCCCCCAGUAGCGGCGAGCGAACGGGGAGCAGCCCAGAGCCUGAAUCAGUGUGUGUGUUAGUGGAAGCGUCUGGAAAGGCGCGCGAUACAGGGUGACAGCCCCGUACACAAAAAUGCACAUGCUGUGAGCUCGAUGAGUAGGGCGGGACACGUGGUAUCCUGUCUGAAUAUGGGGGGACCAUCCUCCAAGGCUAAAUACUCCUGACUGACCGAUAGUGAACCAGUACCGUGAGGGAAAGGCGAAAAGAACCCCGGCGAGGGGAGUGAAAAAGAACCUGAAACCGUGUACGUACAAGCAGUGGGAGCACGCUUAGGCGUGUGACUGCGUACCUUUUGUAUAAUGGGUCAGCGACUUAUAUUCUGUAGCAAGGUUAACCGAAUAGGGGAGCCGAAGGGAAACCGAGUCUUAACUGGGCGUUAAGUUGCAGGGUAUAGACCCGAAACCCGGUGAUCUAGCCAUGGGCAGGUUGAAGGUUGGGUAACACUAACUGGAGGACCGAACCGACUAAUGUUGAAAAAUUAGCGGAUGACUUGUGGCUGGGGGUGAAAGGCCAAUCAAACCGGGAGAUAGCUGGUUCUCCCCGAAAGCUAUUUAGGUAGCGCCUCGUGAAUUCAUCUCCGGGGGUAGAGCACUGUUUCGGCAAGGGGGUCAUCCCGACUUACCAACCCGAUGCAAACUGCGAAUACCGGAGAAUGUUAUCACGGGAGACACACGGCGGGUGCUAACGUCCGUCGUGAAGAGGGAAACAACCCAGACCGCCAGCUAAGGUCCCAAAGUCAUGGUUAAGUGGGAAACGAUGUGGGAAGGCCCAGACAGCCAGGAUGUUGGCUUAGAAGCAGCCAUCAUUUAAAGAAAGCGUAAUAGCUCACUGGUCGAGUCGGCCUGCGCGGAAGAUGUAACGGGGCUAAACCAUGCACCGAAGCUGCGGCAGCGACGCUUAUGCGUUGUUGGGUAGGGGAGCGUUCUGUAAGCCUGUGAAGGUGUACUGUGAGGUAUGCUGGAGGUAUCAGAAGUGCGAAUGCUGACAUAAGUAACGAUAAAGCGGGUGAAAAGCCCGCUCGCCGGAAGACCAAGGGUUCCUGUCCAACGUUAAUCGGGGCAGGGUGAGUCGACCCCUAAGGCGAGGCCGAAAGGCGUAGUCGAUGGGAAACAGGUUAAUAUUCCUGUACUUGGUGUUACUGCGAAGGGGGGACGGAGAAGGCUAUGUUGGCCGGGCGACGGUUGUCCCGGUUUAAGCGUGUAGGCUGGUUUUCCAGGCAAAUCCGGAAAAUCAAGGCUGAGGCGUGAUGACGAGGCACUACGGUGCUGAAGCAACAAAUGCCCUGCUUCCAGGAAAAGCCUCUAAGCAUCAGGUAACAUCAAAUCGUACCCCAAACCGACACAGGUGGUCAGGUAGAGAAUACCAAGGCGCUUGAGAGAACUCGGGUGAAGGAACUAGGCAAAAUGGUGCCGUAACUUCGGGAGAAGGCACGCUGAUAUGUAGGUGAAGCGACUUGCUCGUGGAGCUGAAAUCAGUCGAAGAUACCAGCUGGCUGCAACUGUUUAUUAAAAACACAGCACUGUGCAAACACGAAAGUGGACGUAUACGGUGUGACGCCUGCCCGGUGCCGGAAGGUUAAUUGAUGGGGUCAGCGCAAGCGAAGCUCUUGAUCGAAGCCCCGGUAAACGGCGGCCGUAACUAUAACGGUCCUAAGGUAGCGAAAUUCCUUGUCGGGUAAGUUCCGACCUGCACGAAUGGCGUAAUGAUGGCCAGGCUGUCUCCACCCGAGACUCAGUGAAAUUGAACUCGCUGUGAAGAUGCAGUGUACCCGCGGCAAGACGGAAAGACCCCGUGAACCUUUACUAUAGCUUGACACUGAACAUUGAGCCUUGAUGUGUAGGAUAGGUGGGAGGCUUUGAAGUGUGGACGCCAGUCUGCAUGGAGCCGACCUUGAAAUACCACCCUUUAAUGUUUGAUGUUCUAACGUUGACCCGUAAUCCGGGUUGCGGACAGUGUCUGGUGGGUAGUUUGACUGGGGCGGUCUCCUCCUAAAGAGUAACGGAGGAGCACGAAGGUUGGCUAAUCCUGGUCGGACAUCAGGAGGUUAGUGCAAUGGCAUAAGCCAGCUUGACUGCGAGCGUGACGGCGCGAGCAGGUGCGAAAGCAGGUCAUAGUGAUCCGGUGGUUCUGAAUGGAAGGGCCAUCGCUCAACGGAUAAAAGGUACUCCGGGGAUAACAGGCUGAUACCGCCCAAGAGUUCAUAUCGACGGCGGUGUUUGGCACCUCGAUGUCGGCUCAUCACAUCCUGGGGCUGAAGUAGGUCCCAAGGGUAUGGCUGUUCGCCAUUUAAAGUGGUACGCGAGCUGGGUUUAGAACGUCGUGAGACAGUUCGGUCCCUA